This is a non-coding RNA of Felis catus (domestic cat), 85 nucleotides long. NCBI's taxonomy places the organism in Eukaryota, Metazoa, Chordata, Mammalia, Carnivora, Felidae. The record is from Rfam.
GCCUGAGUGGCUCAGUUGGUUGGGCAUCCGACUUCGGCUCAGGUCAUGGUCUUGUGGUCCGUGGGUUCGUGCCCCACGUCGGGCU